Molecule: long non-coding RNA, 281 nt
Filed under: Vulpes vulpes (red fox)
Lineage: Eukaryota; Metazoa; Chordata; Mammalia; Carnivora; Canidae
Description: lncRNA (ENSVVUG00000018439.1)
Source: RNAcentral
UACGAAGAAACUACCUAGCUAAGAAAUAAAAAUAUAAUGGAGAAUGAGAAUCAAAAUUGCUAAGUGAGGAACCAGGAUGUUGAAACUGCUUUUGCCCUGAGGAUAAUACUUAAUCCAGAAAAGAGAGCGUGCUGAAUUGCACAGGAUUGGAAUCUGUUGGUCAUGGACCAAGAAGAUUCAAGGGUAGCAGUUUCCAUAAAUGCCACCUUGGUUGACAUCUGAAAGAAGAGACUUCCAUUAGAUUACAUUUCAAUGCCACACCUGCUGCCAUGACCAAGGUA